UGGGGAAUAUUGGACAAUGGGGGAAACCCUGAUCCAGCGACGCCGCGUGUGUGAAGAAGGCCUGCGGGUUGUAAAGCACUUUUAGUGGGGACAAAAAGCCACCGGCUAAUACCGGGUGGUCUUGAUUUAACUCACAGAAAAAGCACCGGCUAACUCUGUGCCAGCAGCCGCGGUAAUACAGAGGGUGCGAGCGUUAAUCGGAAUUACUGGGCGUAAAGCGCGCGUAGACGGUUUUGUAAGUCAGAUGUGAAAUCCCCGGGCUCAACCUGGGAACUGCAUUUGAUACUGCAUUGCUAGAGUACGGUAGAGGGAAGCGGAAUUUCCGGUGUAGCGGUGAAAUGCGUAGAUAUCGGAAGGAACACCAGUGGCGAAAGCGGCUUCCUGGACCAGUACUGACGUUCAUGUGCGAAAGCGUGGGGAGCAAACAGG
This 429-nucleotide ribosomal RNA is filed under the name uncultured bacterium. RNAcentral's name for it is "bacterial SSU rRNA". It matches the Rfam family "Bacterial small subunit ribosomal RNA", at positions 355 to 776 of the family's 1533-position model. The record is from RNAcentral.